AGCCGACCACAGGAUAGGUGGGAAUGACAUGCAGUGUUGUGGUCAGGAAAGGCCUCUCUGUGUGAGCCGUAUAAGAAGGAAGGAUCUAGCCAUGCAGACAUUUGAGUUGGGCGGAGAGAACACAAAGGGAGCCUCGGGGUGGGAGGCAGGUGGGUGUGUUUAGGUGCGGAGAUCACCAUAUGAGGUCUGAGAAGUAGGCCCAUUAGGAGUUUGGAUUUUAUUUUGAGGGCAGGAGAAUGUCAGAUACCAUGAUAUGACGUGGCAGCCCAUGUCACACGCAAGUGAGGAAAACGAGGGUCAUGGAGGUCAAGGAAUCUGCCCAGCUUCCCAGUUUUUGGCAGAGCUAGGCUUCACACUGCCUCAGCUUAAAGCCCUUAAUUUCUUAAACCACUGGGCUGCAGUCCAUACCUUUGCCCCUUGCACCUCCUCUAAUUUAUGGGCCACCUUCUCCAGGUGUCCUCCUGGGCCCCAUUCCUUACCCUCUCUAGCACUGGAAGGCCGACCGCUUCUUCCUUGAGACCUUCUCUGGUUCUUUUCCUCUUCCUCGUCUGCCCUUUUCAUUGGAUCCUCUUCUGCCCUCUGCAUGUUCCACCCCGCCCAGCUCCCUCUUGCAGUCUUACAUAGCCACUGGCAUCACUCAUAACAUCCUUUAUGCUUUGCCCCUCUGCCCUUCCUCUUGCCUGUUCUAGCCUCUAAAUUCUGGGCUCUGUAUUACCAGUAGAUCCAUGUAAGAGCUUGCCUUUCCUUUUAGACCGGUGUGCUGUAUUUUGGAUACUGGCGCUACCAGUUUCCUUAAUACAGGUUAAAAAACUUGGAGUCAUCUUUGUUGUCCCAAAUCUCUCAUGCAGAUUAAUUUGACAAAUGUUUAUUGAGCCUACUCCACGCCUGCCGCUGUGCAAGGUUCUGUGGCUCCGCCCCUGGUGAGACCAUUUGUUUGUGACUAUGAAGGGUGUGGCAAGGCCUUCAUCAGGGACUACCAUCUGAACCGCCACAUUCUGACUCACACCGGAGAAAAGCCGUUUGUUUGUGCAGCUAAUGGCUGUGAUCAAAAAUUCAACACAAAAUCAAACUUGAAGAAACAUUUUGAACGCAAACAUGAAAAUCAACAAAAACAAUAUAUAUGCGGUUUUGAAGACUGUAAGAAGACCUUUAAGAAACAUCAGCAGCUGAAAAUCCAUCAGUGCCAGCAUACCAAUGAACCUCUAUUCAAGUGUACCCAGGAAGGAUGUGGGAAACACUUUGCAUCACCCAGCAAGCUGAAACGACAUGCCAAGGCCCACGAGGGCUAUGUAUGUCAAAAAGGAUGUUCCUUUGUGGCAAAAACAUGGACGGAACUUCUGAAACAUGUGAGAGAAACCCAUAAAGAGGAAAUACUAUGUGAAGUAUGCCGGAAAACAUUUAAACGCAAAGAUUACCUUAAGCAACACAUGAAAACUCAUGCCCCAGAAAGGGAUGUAUGUCGCUGUCCAAGAGAAGGCUGUGGAAGAACCUACACAACUGUGUUUAAUCUCCAAAGCCAUAUCCUCUCCUUCCAUGAGGAAAGCCGCCCUUUUGUGUGUGAACAUGCUGGCUGUGGCAAAACAUUUGCAAUGAAACAAAGUCUCACUAGGCAUGCUGUUGUACAUGAUCCUGACAAGAAGAAAAUGAAGCUCAAAGUCAAAAAAUCUCGUGAAAAACGGAGUUUGGCCUCUCGUCUCAGUGGAUAUAUCCCUCCCAAAAGGAAACAAGGGCAAGGCUUAUCUUUGUGUCAAAACGGAGAGUCACCCAACUGUGUGGAAGACAAGAUGCUCUCGACAGUUGCAGUACUUACCCUCUGCUAAGAACUGCACUGCUUUGUUUAAAGGACUGCAGACCAAAGAGCGAGCUUUCUCUCAGAGCAUACUUUUCUUUAUUAAAAUUACUGAUGCAGAA
This 1911-nucleotide small RNA is filed under the name Pongo abelii (Sumatran orangutan). Its description in RNAcentral is "processed transcript". Lineage: Eukaryota; Metazoa; Chordata; Mammalia; Primates; Hominidae. The record is from RNAcentral.